ACCCACAGCCAUAUCACCCUGCAGCCCGGUUACUCACUGAAGCUAAGCAGGUCUGACCCUGGUCAGUACCUGGAUGGGAGACCACUUGGGAAAGCUAGGUUGCUGUUGGAA
Danio rerio (zebrafish) is the source of this 111-nucleotide non-coding RNA. The record is from Rfam. NCBI's taxonomy places the organism in Eukaryota, Metazoa, Chordata, Actinopteri, Cypriniformes, Danionidae.